Molecule: transfer RNA, 93 nt
Filed under: Sinomonas atrocyanea
Lineage: Bacteria; Bacillati; Actinomycetota; Actinomycetes; Micrococcales; Micrococcaceae
Description: tRNA-Arg
Source: RNAcentral
GGAUGAGGUAGGAGACGGUGGUCUUGCCCGCACCGCUCGGGCCGACGAACGCGGCGUACUGGCCGGGCUCGAUCGUGAACGAGACCUCGUCCA